Molecule: long non-coding RNA, 278 nt
Organism: Cygnus atratus (black swan)
Lineage: Eukaryota; Metazoa; Chordata; Aves; Anseriformes; Anatidae
Exons: 3
Source: RefSeq, a predicted model, not a curated record
CAAUUCAGAUUGUAUUGCAAGAAAAAGUUAGUUCUGGCAUUCCCUUGCAGAGAGUGAUUUGAAAACCUGACUCACAACCGUCCUGCAGUCUCAGAAACAAGGCGGCAGCUCCCGUCUAAAUCUACAGACAGCACUUCAUGUAUGAAUCAUUUCUUGGUGACUUGCAAAACUCUUCUGAGAUGAGAAUCAGGAACACUGCUUUAAGGAGGAAAUGGAGAUGUACAGUCAGUGUGCACAGAAGACAUGGCAAGUAGGCUCCAAAGACAGAGCAGACUUAA